This 204-nucleotide ribosomal RNA is filed under the name uncultured bacterium. RNAcentral describes it as "partial 16S ribosomal RNA". It matches the Rfam family "Bacterial small subunit ribosomal RNA", at positions 326 to 545 of the family's 1533-position model. The record is from RNAcentral.
ACGCUCGACACCUACGGGAUGCAGCAGUGGGGAAUAUUGCACAAUGGGGGAAACCCUGAUGCAGCAACGCCGCGUGAAGGAAGACGGUUUUCGGAUUGUAAACUUCUGUUCUUAGUGAAGAUAGUGACGGUAGCUAAGGAGCAAGCCACGGCUAACUACGUGCCAGCAGCCGACGGUAAUCUGACGGCGGGCGUGGACGAAGGC